RNAcentral lists this ribosomal RNA (253 nucleotides) under uncultured bacterium. RNAcentral's name for it is "partial 16S ribosomal RNA". It matches the Rfam family "Bacterial small subunit ribosomal RNA", at positions 524 to 776 of the family's 1533-position model. The record is from RNAcentral.
UACGUAGGUGGCAAGCGUUGUCCGGAAUUAUUGGGAGUAAAGCGCGCGCAGGUGGUUUCUUAAGUCUGAUGUGAAAGCCCACGGCUCAACCGUGGAGGGUCAUUGGAAACUGGGGAACUUGAGUGCAGGAGAGAAGAGUGGAAUUCCACGUGUAGCGGUGAAAUGCGUAGAGAUGUGGAGGAACACCAGUGGCGAAGGCGACUCUUUGGCCUGUAACUGACGCUGAGGUGCGAAAGCGUGGGGAGCAAACAGG